AAGAAGAUCUCUCUGUCUUCUGUAUAUACCCUGUAGAUCCGAAUUUGUGUAAGAAAUUUUGUGGUCACAAAUUCGUAUCUAGGGGAAUAUGUAGUUGACAUAAACACUCCGCUCGUUUUU
Myotis lucifugus (little brown bat) is the source of this 120-nucleotide microRNA precursor. Ensembl annotates it as microRNA 10a. The record is from Ensembl. Lineage: Eukaryota; Metazoa; Chordata; Mammalia; Chiroptera; Vespertilionidae.